CAAGAUGAAGUCACCUACCCAGGUCCUCCUAUCCCUGCUGCUUUGGGUGUCUGGUGCCUGUGCAGACAUCAUGAUGACCCAGUCUCCAUCCUCCCUGGCUGUUUCAGCAGGAGAGAAGGUCUCCAUCAGCUGCAGGUCCAGUCAGAGUCUUUAUUACAAAGAUUAUUUAUUACAAAAGAAUUUAUUGUCCUGGUACCAGCAGAAACCAGGGCAAUCCCCUAAGCUGCUGAUCUACCAUGCAUCCACUCGGCAAACUGGGGUCCCUGAUCGCUUCACAGGCAGUGGGUCUGGAACAGAUUUCACUCUCACCAUCAGCAGUGUACAGGCUGAAGACCUGGCAGUUUAUUACUGUCAGCAGGGUAUUAGUACUCCUCCCACAGUGCUUCAAGCUAAAUCUGAGGCAGAGACUGAGCCUCUUGAACUUCUUCCUCUAACUGACACCCCAUUUUUCUGUGCUGCUUUUAAUGUAUCUCUCAAAACUCUGGCAUGGUAUGAAAGAGGCUUCACUGCUGUCAUCAUUGGAUAUUUACCUGUCCUGGUUAAGGAGAUCUCCUACAUGAUCUUUAUGAAAAUUUACUGCUGUUCAGAUGAAUUAAUGAUUUCAUAG
Psammomys obesus (fat sand rat) is the source of this 607-nucleotide non-coding RNA. The record is from the annotation of a RefSeq genome assembly. NCBI's taxonomy places the organism in Eukaryota, Metazoa, Chordata, Mammalia, Rodentia, Muridae.